Molecule: long non-coding RNA, 356 nt
Organism: Ixodes scapularis (black-legged tick)
Lineage: Eukaryota; Metazoa; Arthropoda; Arachnida; Ixodida; Ixodidae
Exons: 3
Source: RefSeq, a predicted model, not a curated record
AUGUCCGCCCAGGAGUGUUGGGACAACGGUAAACCCAAGUGGAAGAAAACACUCCGAGAAGAAUCAGGGCAUCCACGCAACAGGAGGGUGCACUGGUGUCGCACCCGCUGAACAAUGAGCCCGUCCCUCCAUCUUGUGGGGGCACUGGUGUCCCACAUGGCAAUGCGGCUGCCAAGCCCGUACAACAGUGCCAGCGCCCGCGCUGGUUGGCCGGUGCUCUCAAUGCUGCCAGCCGCCAUUCCCGAAGCCACAGUGAACGAGCAUGACGACUGGCAUGAUGCCUGAUUCACCUGCCUCACCGCUUCUGGACUGGGGUGGCAUCAUGGAGGUUGUGGUUGCUGCGCCACCAACCAAGC